Pelobates cultripes (western spadefoot toad) is the source of this 615-nucleotide non-coding RNA. The record is from the annotation of a GenBank genome assembly. NCBI's taxonomy places the organism in Eukaryota, Metazoa, Chordata, Amphibia, Anura, Pelobatidae.
AGUUGCCACUGUCUCAGUUUCAAGACCUACAUAUAUUAUUGUUCCUGAAUCUACUCCUGUGCCAUAUAUUUGGAACCCAAACAGACCUCCAAACCUGUCAAUAAAGUACUGCAGAUUGGAAAUGGUCAUGUGAACGGGGUUACACACAUAGUUUUACAGUAUGGUGUGGUAGGCAACCUUUGGAUAAUCAUAUCUUGAUCCACUGUUUUUCCCAGGUUGCCCAACCUACACAUGACCAAUAGGGGCAGAAGUUAGUCUCUAUUUGGGCAAUCAGGAUCAGUAGGUCUUUUACUGGGACAUAAGUAUUUAUCAUUAAACCCAUAAGUUCGUUCCCAUUUAAGAUUACCACAUACAUUCCAAAGUCUUCCACUACCCGAAAUCGCCUUACAUGCAUCAAAUAGUAGAAUACCCGUGGAAUGUAUGGUGCUUAUCACAGUCCUAUUUAUUAAUGUCCCCUGGGAGUUACUAUUCCGAAUUACCAACCAAAUUGUACGGGGUUGGAAAUGGGGAUCAAAACAUUUAGACUCUCCUGAUAUUGGCUUGCACACACUAUAAUCAAUAUCCAAAUAUCUACAUUUAGAUACAGAUCCCUUACAUUCAUACUGUGAGUGCCAG